UACGUAGGGUGCGAGCGUUGUCCGGAAUUAUUGGGCGUAAAGAGCUUGUAGGCGGUCUGUCGCGUCUGCUGUGAAAAUCCGGGGCUCAACCCCGGACUUGCAGUGGGUACGGGCAGACUAGAGUGUGGUAGGGGAGACUGGAAUUCCUGGUGUAGCGGUGAAAUGCGCAGAUAUCGUUUGGAACGCCAAUGGUGAAAACAGGUUGCUGGGGGUGUGCUGACGCUGAGACACGAAAGCCAGGGGAGCAAACGGG
This 253-nucleotide ribosomal RNA is filed under the name uncultured bacterium. RNAcentral describes it as "partial 16S ribosomal RNA". It matches the Rfam family "Bacterial small subunit ribosomal RNA", at positions 524 to 776 of the family's 1533-position model. The record is from RNAcentral.